This 336-nucleotide long non-coding RNA is filed under the name Mustela putorius furo (domestic ferret). RNAcentral describes it as "lncRNA (ENSMPUG00000027242.1)". Lineage: Eukaryota; Metazoa; Chordata; Mammalia; Carnivora; Mustelidae. The record is from RNAcentral.
UGUGAUUUAUCCACAGUUCUAUUAUAAAUUAUAGGGGUAAUCUUUGACUUUGCUUUCUCUCAAAGGCUACAAAUACAUCUGGAAAUUUCACUGAUUCUACAUUUAAAAUAUCUUCAGAAUUUAGGAAGUUCUUCAGACAAAAGGAAUAUGAGACCAACCAUAAAAUUUGAUAUACAUCAAGAAAUGAAGAACAUUAGAACUGGAAUCAAGCAAGGAUUCUGGAAGCUGAGGCCAAGCUAUGACAGGAGGGACUUGCAAGUCUCACACUUUCUCCAAUCCCUCUCCCUCCUAUUGCAGGUAAGGAUCCUAUGAUGGGGAAUUGACUUGAGGUUUGUG